This 551-nucleotide ribosomal RNA is filed under the name Macaca mulatta (Rhesus monkey). Its description in RNAcentral is "partial large subunit ribosomal RNA". It matches the Rfam family "Bacterial large subunit ribosomal RNA", at positions 1816 to 2597 of the family's 2925-position model. The record is from RNAcentral. Lineage: Eukaryota; Metazoa; Chordata; Mammalia; Primates; Cercopithecidae.
CACCUCUAGCAUUACUAGUAUUAGAGGCACUGCCUGCCCAGUGACACACGUUUAACGGCCGCGGUACCCUGACCGUGCAAAGGUAGCAUAAUCACUUGUUCUUUAAAUGGGGACUCGCAUGAAAGGCACCACGAGGGUUUAACUGUCUCUUACUUUUAACCAGUGAAAUUGACCUGCCCGCGAAGAGGCGGGCAUAAAAUAAUAAGACGAGAAGACCCUAUGGAGCUUUAAUCUAUUAAUGCAAUCAAAAACUACACAAACCCACGGACCUUUAAACUACCGACACCUGCAUUAAAAAUUUUGGUUGGGGCGACCUCGGAGCACAACAAAACCUCCGAAUAACACAUGCUAAGACCACACAAGUCAAAGCGAACUAAUACUUACAAUUGAUCCAAUAAUUUGAUCAACGGAACAAGUUACCCUAGGGAUAAUAGCGCAAUUCUAUUCUAGAGUCCAUAUCGACAAUAGAGCUUACGACCUCGAUGUUGGAUCAGGACAUCCUAAUGGUGCAGCAGCUAUCAAGGGUUCGUUUGUUCAACGAUUAAAGUCCU